Molecule: small nuclear RNA, 106 nt
Organism: Cebus imitator (Panamanian white-faced capuchin)
Lineage: Eukaryota; Metazoa; Chordata; Mammalia; Primates; Cebidae
Source: RefSeq, a predicted model, not a curated record
UUGCUCACUUCCGCAGCACAUAUACUAAAAUUAGAAUGAUACAGAGAAGAUCAGCAUGGCUCCUUUAAUGUAAAUUAAAAAUGUGUAAGACGUGGUCCCUGUCCUC